GCUGGGUGUGGUGGUGCACUCCUGUUAUCACAGUGGCUCAGGAGGCUGAGGCAGGAGGAUUGCAAGUUCAGAGCCAGACUCAGCAACUUACAGAGGCUCUGAGCAACUUAGUGAGAGUCUGUCUUUA
RNAcentral lists this small RNA (127 nucleotides) under Marmota monax (woodchuck). The record is from RNAcentral. Lineage: Eukaryota; Metazoa; Chordata; Mammalia; Rodentia; Sciuridae.